GCGACAGUAGCUCAGUGGUAGAGCCUCCGCUGCGCAUGCGGGGAGACCUGGGUUCGACUCCCGGCUGCUUCC
RNAcentral lists this transfer RNA (72 nucleotides) under Toxocara canis (dog roundworm). It matches the Rfam family "tRNA". From Rfam's summary of the family: Transfer RNA (tRNA) molecules are approximately 80 nucleotides in length. Their secondary structure includes four short double-helical elements and three loops (D, anti-codon, and T loops). Further hydrogen bonds mediate the characteristic L-shaped molecular structure. tRNAs have two regions of fundamental functional importance: the anti-codon, which is responsible for specific mRNA codon recognition, and the 3' end, to which the tRNAs corresponding amino acid is attached (by aminoacyl-tRNA synthetases). tRNAs cope with the degeneracy of the genetic code in two manners: having more than one tRNA (with a specific anti-codon) for a particular amino acid; and 'wobble' base-pairing, i.e. permitting non-standard base-pairing at the 3rd anti-codon position. The record is from Rfam by way of RNAcentral. Lineage: Eukaryota; Metazoa; Nematoda; Chromadorea; Rhabditida; Toxocaridae.